CAGUCGCCGCGGGAAUACGAAGGGUGCAAGCGUUACUCGGAAUUACUGGGCGUAAAGCGUGCGUAGGUGGUGGUUUAAGUCCGUUGUGAAAGCCCUGGGCUCAACCUGGGAAUUGCAGUGGAUACUGGGUCACUAGAGUGUGGUAGAGGAUAGUGGAAUUUCCGGUGUAGCAGUGAAAUGCGUAGAGAUCGGAAGGAACAUCUGUGGCGAAGGCGACUAUCUGGGCCAACACUGACACUGAGGCACGAAAGCGUGGGGAGCAAACAGGAUUAGAGACCCCCGUAGUCCCUGUCUCUUAUAC
Molecule: ribosomal RNA, 301 nt
Filed under: uncultured bacterium
Lineage: Bacteria
Description: partial 16S ribosomal RNA
Rfam family: Bacterial small subunit ribosomal RNA
Source: RNAcentral